CAUUCGCGGCGACUACGACGACGACGACGACGACGACGACGAUCACGAAGCGACGACGACGACGACGACAACGCGUCGAGUUUGCCUUUUAAAUGCAACCGUGCUAAUUCCGCAUGUAUGCAUCUUUACGACGACGCUGCGACGAUGACGAUAUUAUUAGUAUUAUUUGUGUGUAUAACGUCCGGUAGUAGUGCGGUAACACGUUCGUCCAGUUAAUAAUAAAAACUUAGUAAUAGUAUAAUAGCAAUUAAAAAG
Molecule: long non-coding RNA, 255 nt
Organism: Vespa crabro (European hornet)
Lineage: Eukaryota; Metazoa; Arthropoda; Insecta; Hymenoptera; Vespidae
Exons: 2
Source: RefSeq, a predicted model, not a curated record